CCAAAGGGCCUAUAGCUCAGUUGGUUAGAGCACACGCCUGAUAAGCGUGAGGUCGGUGGUUCAAGUCCAUUUAGGCCC
This 78-nucleotide transfer RNA is filed under the name Brinjal little leaf phytoplasma. Its description in RNAcentral is "tRNA-Ile". It matches the Rfam family "tRNA". From Rfam's summary of the family: Transfer RNA (tRNA) molecules are approximately 80 nucleotides in length. Their secondary structure includes four short double-helical elements and three loops (D, anti-codon, and T loops). Further hydrogen bonds mediate the characteristic L-shaped molecular structure. tRNAs have two regions of fundamental functional importance: the anti-codon, which is responsible for specific mRNA codon recognition, and the 3' end, to which the tRNAs corresponding amino acid is attached (by aminoacyl-tRNA synthetases). tRNAs cope with the degeneracy of the genetic code in two manners: having more than one tRNA (with a specific anti-codon) for a particular amino acid; and 'wobble' base-pairing, i.e. permitting non-standard base-pairing at the 3rd anti-codon position. Lineage: Bacteria; Bacillati; Mycoplasmatota; Mollicutes; Acholeplasmatales; Acholeplasmataceae. The record is from RNAcentral.